UAGACUACUCACGGCGCAGUAGGGUACUAUCUAUGACCUCCGCCGCCUUGUCCUCCGGCCCGAAUAAGGCCUUUCCUAACUGGUUGUGUGCGCAACCAGUAUCGGAGCCGUCGCUGCACCCUGGGGAUCGGCGCUAGCGUGUCCCACAUGGCCCACACGGAUUUGGCUAUUUCAUUUUUCCGAGCGCCAUAUGAAGCGAAUACACGUCAGAUCGUAUCUGGCGUCCUACCUACGCUAGCGCAUAGCUCGUACUCGCCUACCUCCCCGUCAACUACACCGUGACUAGGCUACCCCAUCCACCCAAGCCAGAGGCAAUUCAAAAUUCGAAUCCCAGUCGCAGCUGCAUUGACCGGCGGAACCAUGCCCUCCUCAUCGCCGCGCCUAGAUCUCGAUAUUUCUUCACAAAUCACCAAUGAAUCUCGGUGGGGAGUCAUUCACGGAUCUCUUGUUCAGCUUCUGUUCCCAGCCGGUCGCAACCGUGGGCGUCCUAGAUCUGGCAUUGCCAGAGGGAGGGGAGGUGCGGUGAUGGAGGGAAAGAUUGUGAUAGCGAUUCUCCUUCCUCAAGUUCUGCAUCUCAAGUUCAAGAGGCAACGGAAGAUUUUUUCAAUGUCCCAGACAUUGACCAAACCGACAGUCACAGAGAGCAUCCAUCUGAAUCGCAACACGCUCCAACUCUGUGGCCUCAAAGGCAUUUAUACUGUCAAUUUUUGGCCUAGGCAUUGGCAUGUGCAUGAAGACAAUUUUAUGAGCAGUAUACAUAUCAAUGACAUCCCCAUGUCCAUAGGCAGGAAACCAUGACUAUCUGUUGAUCAACGAGCUAGUCAACUAGAGGCUCACUAGGGACACAUUGUGGUCUAUGUAUUCACACAUGUAUUACGAUUUCCGGAUAAAACAAUUACAGCAUGAAUAAUAGACAAUUAUCAUGAACAAGGAAAUAUAAUAAUCAUUUUAUUAUUGCCUCUAGGGCAUAUUUCCAACAAUCUCUCAUGAGCGUGCUCUCUCUCUCUCGGGCGCGCACACAGUCCAAAUCUCGCAGGCAUAGUUGCGGCCGACCUUAUUAGGCUUUUUUCCUGUGGCUGCGCAUGUUCACACCUACACAGAAAAGUGGCUGACAGAAUAUAAAUUUCAGUCGAUUGACACCUAGUCGGUCCCGGCUCGCCUCGCUGCUAAUGUCGCUGACUGAAUCAUCAGCCAUCUUGGCGAUGUCUUUCAGCAGGUAGCCGACGAACCCGUUCAGCAGCUCCUGUGCAAUGCCAAUGCGCAGGACGGUGACCUGACGGGGCUCCCUCCUGACUUCCGGAUGGUGGUAUGACCAAAGCCUCGGUUGCCUAUCCCGACGGCCACCAUGCUGUGACUCCUCCCCGGCGCUAGGCGAAGCAACAUCUUCUGGCUGCCGACGGCUGCCAGCACAGUAUCUUCUCCCGUGUCACGACUGCCGAUGGCAGUGGCAGCCAACUUCUCCACACGCCAUGGCGGCGGCCGGAAGCGACGAGGUCUCUUCCUCCUGCGCGGGCCAGUCAUGUAUACAGUCACCUGCCCAGUCAGCACGGUAAAAGACAACAACACCACAAAUCAUCUCCAGAACCAUUUGGGUGGACAUUUUUCCGGUUUGCCACAUUUUAGGGGCUUAAAAAUAUGUUUUGAAGUUAGGGGUAUUUUUUUCGAAAGUACGCAAAUUGCAUACCAUAGCUUUAUAGAAGAAGAUAAUUGCAAGUACAAGACAGCUACCACUCGCCGCGAACAAUGACCGUAGCACCCACUCCACAACCGGCUAGUCCAAAGACAACCAACAACGACAACACAACUACAACGCAAAAGACCCUACCCUAAUCCGUAAACCUCGCCGCGUCUCAACCAACGACACCAUCCGCCGAAGAACGUUUGCGUCUCUACUGUGUUAAAAAAGAUAAAUAAAUAAAUAGAGAAAUCCCAAUGUACAUUUUUUCCCGUGCACAGCCAAGGAGCUAAAUAAAACCCGAAACUCGUCUAAAAAAGAAUAAAACCCUAGACUACUCACGGCGCAGUAGGGUACUAUCUAUGACCUCCGCCGCCUUGUCCUCCGGCCCGAAUAAGGCCUUUCCUAACUGGCUGCGUGCGCAACCAAUAUCGGAGCCGUCGCUGCACCCUGGGGAUCGGCGCUAGCGUGUCCCACAUGGCCCACACGGAUUUGGCUAUUUCAUUUUUCCGAGCGCCAUAUGAAGCGAAUACACGUCAGAUCGUAUCUGGCGUCCUACCUACGCUAGCGCAUAGCUUGUACUCACCUACCUCCCCGUCAACUACACCGUGACCAGGCUACCCCAUCCACCCAAGCCAGAGGCAAUUCAAAAUUCGAAUCCCAGUCGCAGCUGCAUUGACCGGCGAAACCACGCCCUCCUCAUCGCCGCGCUUGGAUCUCGAUAUUUCUUCACAAAUCAUCAAUGAAUCUCGGUGGGGAGUCAUUCACGGAUCUCUUGUUCAGCUUCUGUUCCCAGCCGGUCACAACCGUGGGCAUCCUAGAUCUGGCAUUGCCAGAGGGAGGGGAGGUGCGGUGAUGGAGGGAAAGAUGGUGAUAGCGAUUCUCCUUCCUCAAGUUCUGCAUCUCAAGUUCAAGAGGCAACGGAAGAUUUUUUUCAAUGUCCCAGACAUUGACCAAACCGACAGUCACAGAGAGCAUCCAUCUGAAUCGCAACGCACUCCAACUAUGUGGCCUCAAAGAGCCCGACUUGGCAAGAUACCCGACUGCUGCGCCUCAUUAUCAGGAAGGAAAAGUUCUUUGGAGAAGGCCAUGAGGAAUUUCACAGAUAAGAAGUCAGGUACCAUCCACAAGCCGGAAAUCAGCCAGGAAUUUGAUUCUUUGGACGAAGCUUAUGACUUCUACAACCUAUACUCUUGGGAGACUGGGUUCGGCAGCAAGUAUGGGCAAUGCAGAAGAAACGUGGACAAGUGCAAGACGGUCCAGGACAUGGUUUUCGGAUGCCAAGUAGUGAAUAUAUUUGAUUCAAGACAUGUAAACUUGGCAGUGUUACAAGGACGUGUACAUUUUGCCAUUGUACUGAUGUGAGUACAAAGUGCAACUGAAAUUGUACAUGGGUUGUUCAUUUUUGACAAAGCGUCA
This is a long non-coding RNA of Triticum aestivum (bread wheat), 3094 nucleotides long. RefSeq lists it as uncharacterized. Lineage: Eukaryota; Viridiplantae; Streptophyta; Magnoliopsida; Poales; Poaceae. The transcript is spliced from 5 exons. The record is from RefSeq and is a predicted model, not a curated record.